This 1012-nucleotide long non-coding RNA is filed under the name Homo sapiens (human). RNAcentral's name for it is "non-protein coding lnc-BUB3-4:21". The record is from RNAcentral. Lineage: Eukaryota; Metazoa; Chordata; Mammalia; Primates; Hominidae.
CCUGGACCACUGAUUUGAGGCCUUUCUGCUUCCUUUGAUUCAGUCUUUGGCAGAGACCCAGGAGCAGGAGUCCUUGAUGGCACCUGGCCCUUUCUAGUCACCGACAAGGGAAACCUGAGAAACCAUUCUCAGAAAUGGAACUAAAUUGACACAGCAUUUGUCUCCUCCAGAGGAUACAGCACCAAGGCGCCAUCUUGGAAGUAGACUGGAGCUCUUAGCAGACCAGAACCUGUGGGUGUGUUGAUCUUGUACUUCCUGACCUCCAGAACUGCAUAUUAUGAAUAUUCAGUGAAACAACGUGUGUGCUCACCAGGCAGGAAGAGCUCAGCAAAUGGUGGCUGGUCUGGAAAUUAUUGUCAUCACUAUAAUCCUCAUCGACAUCCUCAGCCUUAUUGUCAUCAUCAUCAACCUCAUCAGUGUCAUCAUCAGCCUCAUCAACGUCAUCAUCAGCCUCAUCACUGUCAUCAUCAGCCCUUUGUCAUCAUCAUCAUCCACCUUGCUGUUCUCUUCCUUGUUGACAUCAUUAUCCUCAUCCUCCUCAUCACCAUCAACAGCAUUAUUUUUAUUUUUUAUUCUUCCACCUGUAAGAGUUUCUUUUCCUCCCUCUUAUUGUUUUCCUCUUGGGAUGACUAGUGGUGAAGGAAGUGUCAGAGGCAAUGACCUCACAGCUGUCGUUGCCAUGGGUGACACCUCCCAGAAAGAGCUUAUUGGAACUUUCAGUCCAGGGGAGUUUCUGCUGUUCCAGGAUGGAGGAAAUGUUCAAGAACUGUGGAGCAUCUGAGAUUUUUUUCCUACUUUUGAUGUCCACCUAGUCAAAGUUCAGGAUCUACAGGUGACCAAGAGCCUGCUGUCUGGUUAUGGAAGGUCUCAGCUUUGGUUGUGUCAGUGAAUGAAGACCAGGACAGUCACAGUUGUAUGAGGAGGCUGGGGGCAUCCCUUACAGUCCCUUUGAGGGAGGUGCAGUCCUUGUAGCUGGAUGACCAUAGAGAACCAGCUUCUCUGCUGAACCAGG